RNAcentral lists this unclassified non-coding RNA (311 nucleotides) under uncultured fungus. RNAcentral's name for it is "partial contains 5.8S ribosomal RNA and internal transcribed spacer 2". The stretch from base 1 to 133 matches the Rfam family "5.8S ribosomal RNA", at positions 22 to 154 of the family's 154-position model. Lineage: Eukaryota; Fungi. The record is from RNAcentral.
UGGUUCUGGCAUNGAUGAAGAACGCAGCGAAAUGCGAUAAGUAAUGUGAAUUGCAGAAUUCAGUGAAUCAUCGAAUCUUUGAACGCACAUUGCGCCCUCUGGUAUUCCGGGGGGCAUGCCUGUUCGAGCGUCAUUACAACCCUCAAGCUCUGCUUGGUGUUGGGCAUCACCACCCAGGUGUGCCUUAAACUUAGUGGCGGUGCCGUCGGGCUUCAAGCGUAGUACUAUAUCUCGCUCGGGAGUCAGGCGUGAUCCUGCCAUAACUCAUCACUUUCAAGGUUGACCUCGGAUCAGGUAGGGAUACCCGCUGA